Molecule: ribosomal RNA, 253 nt
Filed under: uncultured bacterium
Lineage: Bacteria
Description: partial 16S ribosomal RNA
Rfam family: Bacterial small subunit ribosomal RNA
Source: RNAcentral
UACAGAGACUGCAAGCGUUAUUCGGAUUCACUGGGCGUAAAGGGUGCGCAGGCGGUUGGGUGUGUCAGAUGUGAAAUCCCGAGGCUCAACCUCGGAACUGCGUCUGAAACUACUCGACUAGAGUACUGGAGAGGGUAACGGAAUUCACGGUGUAGCAGUGAAAUGCGUAGAUAUCGUGAGGAACACCAGAGGCGAAGGCGGUUACCUGGACAGUUACUGACGCUCAGGCACGAAAGCUAGGGGAGCAAACAGG